RNAcentral lists this ribosomal RNA (468 nucleotides) under uncultured Pseudonocardia sp. RNAcentral's name for it is "bacterial SSU rRNA". It matches the Rfam family "Bacterial small subunit ribosomal RNA", at positions 380 to 851 of the family's 1533-position model. The record is from RNAcentral. Lineage: Bacteria; Bacillati; Actinomycetota; Actinomycetes; Pseudonocardiales; Pseudonocardiaceae.
CCCCUGACGCAGCGACGCCGCGUGGGGGGAUGACGGCCUUCGGGUUUGUAAACCUCUUUCGCCCUUGACGAAGCCUUUCGGGGUGACGGUAGGGGUAGAAGAAGCACCGGCCAACUACGUGCCAGCAGCCGCGGUAAUACGUAGGGUGCGAGCGUUGUCCGGAAUUAUUGGGCGUAAAGAGCUCGUAGGCGGUCUGUCGCGUCGGUCGUGAAAACUUGGGGCUUAACCCUGAGCUUGCGGUCGAUACGGGCAUGACUGGAGUUCGGCAGGGGAGACUGGAAUUCCUGGUGUAGCGGUGAAAUGCGCAGAUAUCAGGAGGAACACCGGUGGCGAAGGCGGGUCUCUGGGCCGAUACUGACGCUGAGGAGCGAAAGCGUGGGGAGCGAACAGGAUUAGAUACCCUGGUAGUCCACGCCGUAAACGGUGGGCGCUAGGUGUGGGGGCCAUUCCACGGUCUCUGUGCCGGCA